GGUUUUAUGAAGAAAAGUGUAAAAUCUGACCUGCUCAAUGAUAAGUUAAAUAGCCACAGUAAUUUGACUGUGCAAAGGUAGCAUAAUAAUUAGGCUAUUAAUUGUAGUCUUGUAUGAAAGGUUGAACAUAAGGUCUACUUUUUUACUCAUAAAGUUGAAUUUUUUAAGUUAGAGAGAAUUCUGACAUGUUACAUAAAGACGAAAAGACCCUAUUGAGUUUUAUAUAUUGUAAUUAAAGUAGCAAUAGAUGAAAUAUUUAAUUGCUUAUAUUUAGUUGGGGCAACUGAAAUAAAAAAAUAUAUUAUAUAUUUGUGUAUUUGCAAUGUGUGAGAUCCAUUAUUAAUGAUAAAUAGAAUAAAUUACCACAGGGAUAACAGCAUAAUUUUAUUGGAGAGUUCAUAUCGAUGAUGAAGUUUGUGACCUCGAUGUUGAAUUAAGAUACCUAAAUGGCGCAGGAGCUUUUAAAGGUAGACUGUUCGUCUAUUAAAUUCUUACA
This 496-nucleotide ribosomal RNA is filed under the name Scolopendra laeta. RNAcentral describes it as "partial 16S small subunit ribosomal RNA". It matches the Rfam family "Bacterial large subunit ribosomal RNA", at positions 1827 to 2600 of the family's 2925-position model. The record is from RNAcentral. Lineage: Eukaryota; Metazoa; Arthropoda; Chilopoda; Scolopendromorpha; Scolopendridae.